UCUGUAACCUUUUCUAAUACAUAUUCUAUUUUAUUUAGUGAAUUCUAAUAAUCAAAAGAUAAAACAGAGCCAUUCUGAACAGCAAUUUGGAAUUAUGCAAAUGAAGUGACUGAAAUGUUUAUACUCUUUAGUCAAGAGAUGCCACUGUUGGGCAUAUAUCGUAAGGAGGUCAAUGCUGUAUACAGCAAAAUAUAAACUUAUUACACUUUUGUAACAGUAAAGACUCAGAAAUAUAGUUAGUGCUCACCAUGGCUUGUACAUGUAGUGGAUUAUUACUGUGCUAUAAGAAAAAAUUAUUAUGAUGAAUAUAAAGAAGCAUAGGAAGAUAACAUAUGCACUCUGCAAUUGAAGCAAACAGAACCAGGGCUUGCUCUCUGAGAGGCUAUGGAGAAGUGAUUCAUUGGGAAAUGGAGGUGAUGUUUUAAAAGAUGAGUGUGCACAAAAACACUUGUGCGUGAAGGAGAUUUAAAUGGAAAAGUCGAUGCACAGAGACAGUCCCACUCUCUCGGUGUUGGAAGCCUGGGUCCAGUGGCACGAAAAGUCAUUACACCUGGAGACUUCCUCAGCUGCAUUGGAUGGCCGUGUUGUCCUUUGUGCUCCAACAUGCCCUAAGCACUCCACAGUGCUUUGCUGCGUCGCCCUCUCAGCCGUUGAACCUUCUUAUUGGUUUCUUCCAUCUGUUUGGCCGAAGCAGUCUUCACAUGCUGGGUGAGCAAAGCCCUGGUUCACCAGAGGUCGACGACCCGAUGGCUACCCUCACAAGGUUUAGCCGGCCUGUCGAAGCCGUUGCCCAGAUAAAGAAACCCAGGAUUACCAAGCAAGUCUCUCAGAUGAGAUUCAAAUUGAGGAUUUCCUGAUUCCAAGUCUGAUACUCUAUCCGUGGAACCACGUAGCUGCUUAAUACUUUUUAAUAAUGGCAAAGAAAUGGAAGAAAUGUUGGUACUCUUUCUUUUGGAUGAAUAAAUUGUAACAUGAAUGGAAUAUUAUGCUGGAAGAAAUGACAAAUAUGAAUAAUUCAGAGAAUCUUGGCAAGACAUGUGAACUGAAACAGAAUGAAGUAAGUAAAAUUAGAACAAUUUACUUGAUGGCUGACUUUUUUUUUGACCUUUGAUUUCAUUAGUUCAGUUUCUGAAUAUAGAAACUACCUCUAAAGUUUCCUGAGGGCACGGAGAGGUUAAGUAAUUGACUCAAUUUCAGCAGCCAGUAUCCAAAGCAGGACUCUGGACUGUGAGACCAUUUCUAUUAUGCUAUACUGUGUCUCAGUAUGAUUGCAAUGAUAGUGGCACUUUCAACCUCUGAUUAAUGUACUGUAUAAUUCUGAGUUCAAAGGUCUAAUCCUAAAGCAUGACAGCUAAUGUAUUAGAGAGGUGAUAAAGUAUGUAUUUUAAAAUAUGGACAUUUUAAUAAUUUUGAAUGAAUUUAUUUGUUUUGAAGGGAAUUUCUCUUAGGAUUGGAGAUGGGAUGGAGCAAGGCCACUGGAAAGUGUGAUUUUUCUUCUUUAGCAGCAUUAAUAAAUAUUUCAAAAACUAGUUAAAUAUUUUUUUAUAUUUUUAUUUUUUCCAAUUACAUGCAAAACCAUUUAAACAUGUUUUUAAAAAUUUUGAGCUUCAAAUUCUCUGCUCCAUUCCUUCCUUACCCUAUUCAUGAGAUGACAAGCAAUUUGAUAUAUAUUAUGCUUGGGUAGCCCUGCAAAACAUAUUAGCCAUGCUGUGAAAGAAAAUACAGAACAAAAGGCAAAAAAAAAAACCCAAAACUUGUUUUUUUAAAAAGAAUGCUUUUGAUCUGCAUUCAGAUUCCAUCAGUUCUUUAUUGGAAGGUGAAUAGCAUUUUUUCAUCAUAAGUCCUUUAGAAUUAUUUUAGAUGAUUGCAUUAUUGAGAAUAGCUAAGCCAUUUAUAAUCAAUCAUCCUACAAUGUUGUUGUUACUGUGUCCAAUGUUCUCCUGGUUCUGCUCACUUCACUUUGCAUCAGUUCAUAUAGAUCUUUCCAGGUUUUUCUGAAAGCAUCCUGAUCAUCAUUCUUUAUAGCCCAAUAGUACUGUCACAAGCAUAUAUCACUUAUUCAACCAUCCCCCAUUUGAUGGGCCAUUGCCUCAAUUUCUAAUUCUUUGUCACCAUAAAAAAGAGUUACUAUAAGUAUUUUUUUACAUAUAGGUCUCCACUCUCCCAGAACCCCCCACCUUUUUUAAUUUCUUUGGGAUAUUAUCCUAAUAGUGGUAUUGCUGGGUCAAAGGGUAUUCACAGUUUCAUAGCCUUUUGGGCAUAGUUCCAAACUGUUCUCUAGAAUGUUUGGAUCAGGUCAUAACUCCACCAAGUGCAUCAGUGUCCCAAUUUUCCUACAUUUCCUUUAAGAUGUCAUUUUCCUUUUAUUAAAUUUUAGCCAAUAUGUUAGGUAUGAGGAAGUACCUCAGAGUUGUUUUAAUUUGCAUUUAUUUCUCUAAUCAAGUGAUUUAGAGCAUUUUUUCUUAUACUAUAGAAAGCUCUGAUUUCUUCUGAAAACUGACUAUCCUUUGAUCAGUUAUCGAUUGGGAAAUUAAUUAUAUCCUUACAUAUUUGACUCAGUUCUUUUUAUAUUUGAGAAAUGAGGCCUUUAUCAGAGAAACCUGCUGUAAAAAAAUAUCAUUCCCCACCACCCCUGCCCCAGUUUUCUGCUUUCCUUUUACUUUUGGCUACAUUGGACUUGUUUGUGCAAACUCUUUUAAUAUAAUCAAAGUAAUGCUCUCUCUCUUGUUUUGUCAUAAAUUCUUCCCUUAUACAUAGAUCUGACAGGUAAGAUUUCCAUGCUUCCCCUCAUUUACUUAUAUCAUUCUUCAUGUCUAAAUUGAUAUCAUUUUUUAUGUUUAUACAUAUCCAUGUUGAUCUUUUCUUGGUAUUGACAUGUUGGUCAUGUUUUUGCCAAACUGUUCUCUAGUUUUCCCAGCAGUUUUAAAAAAUCAAAUAUUGAAUUCUUGUUCCAAAAGCCUGGAUCUUUGUGCUUAUCAAAUACAAAUUUUUUUCUUUUUUUUUUAAACCCUUACCUUCCGUCUUGGAGUCAAUAUUGACUCCAAGGCAGAAGAGUGGUAAGGGUUAGGCAAUGGGGGUCAAGUGACUUGCCCAGCAUCAUAGGGCUGGGAAGUGUCUGAGGCCAGAUUUGAACCUAGGACCUCCCAUCUCUAGGCCUGGCUCUCAAUCCACAGAACUACCCAGCUGACCCCUUCAAAUACAAAUUUCUAUGGUCAUUUAAUACUGUGUAUUGUCUAGCUAAUUUAUUUUACUGAUCCACCACUCUAUUUAUUAGCCAGUCCCAGAUUGCUUUGAUUAUACUUUGUAAAACAAUUUAAGAUUUGAUAUGGCUAGGAUCCCUUCCUUUAAUUAUAUAUAUAUGUAUAUGUAUAUACAUAUAUAUAUACAUAUACAUAUUCAAUUGAUUCUCUUGCCACUUUCAAACUUUUGUUCUUCCAGAAGAAUUUUAUUUUUUCUAGCUCUAUAAAAUAAUUUUGGGUAGUUGUUAUGGCACUGAAUAAGUAAAUUAAUUUUGGCAGACUUGUCAUUUUUACUAUGUUGACUUGGCCCACCCACAAGACAUUAAUAUUUAUCCACUUGUUAGAGAUGACAUUUGUGUGAAAAAUGUUUUUGUAAUUGUUUCUAUUUCGUUCCUGAGUUUGGUUGGCAGAUAGACUCCUGAACAUUUUAUAUUGUCUAUUAUUACUUUAAAUGGAAUUUCUCUAUCUCUUCUUGCUGGACUUUGUUGGCAAUAUAGGAAUUCCUUCCACAUUGAAGGGGAUAGGAGUAUGGUGUCUCUUUGAUCUGGAAAAUCCAUGUAAAAUUUUUUGACUCUCCCUUCAUACCUGAGAAGUCUGAAUUUUUUCUUUUUCUAUAAUGGAGUGUUCUGAGUAUCUCAUGUUAUACACAAUAGCAUAUAUGUUUUAUGCAUUUAGGAUUUACUACAUUUUUAAAGGUAUUUCAACAUUUCUAGUCUUUGUGUGUUGUGUGCUGGCUUUUGCAUUCUUUUUUGCAAAGCUUAGCUUUUCACAUAUUUGAACUUAAAAAAAUAAAUUGUGCAUAUUUAUGGUAUCAAAUGAUAAAAAUAUGUUGAUGUUAUGUAAUACUAUACAUAUAUUUUAUGUAUUUCUAAGUUUCUAAAUUUCUGUUAUCUUGCUGGCCUUCACACAUCAUCUGCAGCUCCCUCAGAUUCCCAUUUAACUUCUUAUGCCAACCUGCAAUAUAUUGAAACCUUAAUGAGGAAAAGUCAUAACGUGGAAGGGAUACUGGUAUAUAGAAAUACUGAUUUAUAUGGGUUUAUUUUAUAUCCUGCAACUUUGUAGAAGUUAUUUCAACAAGUUUUUUAGUUGAUUCUAACUGCCCCCCCUAAAAUUAAUUUUUAAUUUUUAAUCUAUGUUUCUGUGGCAAAGGAAUUGAUUUAAUGUUUGCACAAAGAAGUUAUGGCAUUUUUUUUUUAGGUUUUGUUUUUUAAUUUUUUCCCAUGGUUCCAUGAUUCAUGUUGUUUCCCUCUCCUCUCCCCCCUCCUGGAGUUGAUAAGCAAUUCCACUGGGCUAUACAUAUAUUAUCACUCAAAACCCAUUCUCCAUAUUAUUCAUUUUUGUAAUAAUCUUUUAAAACCCAAACCCCAAAUCAUAUACCCAUAUAAGCAAGUGAUAAGUUAUGUUUUCAUCCAGAUUUCUACUCCUACAGUUUUUUUUCCCCCCUACAUGUGGGCAACAUCCUUUCUCAUAAAUCUCUCAGAAUUAUCCUGGAUCAUUGCAUUGCUUUUAGUUGCAGUCAGUUACAUCUGAUGGUCCCACAAUGUUUUAGUUGCUGUGUACAAUGUUCUCUUGGUUCUGCUUAUUUUACUCUGCAUCAGUUCAUGUAGGUCUUCCUAGUUCAUAUAGAAAUCCAUUGAGAAAAAAAAAAGAAAUCCAUUGAUUCAUCAUUCCCUAUAGCACAACAGUAUUCCAUCACCAUCAUAUAUCACAAUUUGUUCAGCCAUUCUCCAACCAAGAGACAUCCCUUCAGUUUCCAAUUUCUUGCCUCCACAAAAAGCACAGCUAUAAAUAUUUUUGUACAAACAGAUCCUUCCUCAUUCUUUUUUAUCUCUUUGGGAUAUAAACCUAGUAGUGGUAUUGCUGGAUCAAAGGGCAAGCAUUCUUUUAAAAGGGAAUAUUCAUUUUUCUUCAAACUCUUACCUUCUGUCUGAGAAGUGAUUCUAAGGCAGAAGAUUCUAAGAGCAGAAAGGACUGGGCAACUAGAAUUAAAUGAUUUGCCCAGAAUCACACAGCUAGGAAAUAUUGUGAGGCCAAAUUUGAACCCAGGUCCUCCUAACUUUCAGUCUAGUGCUCUAUCCAUUGUUACUUAACUGCUCCAGUUAAGGAAUAUUCAAAAGAGAAUCAAGAAUGCUUCAAGUCAAUUUUCUAUCAGCUCUUCCUGUUGCCUCUAUUUAUAGUAUUUUUUGAUACCAGUUGGAGAAAAAAACCACUCGUUACGGAGGACAAAGCUGCUUUCUUUGUGGAUUUAAUUUGCUGCUUGUAUUGGUUGCUAAAGAAAUCCUCAAGAAUGGUGAAUGAGGCUACUACUUUUCAAUAGGCAAGCUGAUCCAACUACACGGUCCCACACCUCCCCAUUAUGUGUCAUUUCACAGGUUCAUUUUUUCCUUCUGACUUCUCUGGUCUUCUUCAAAGCUUAGUUCAAAUUCUGCCUUCUGCAAGAGGUCUUUUACUUCCUUCUGCCAUCCCCACUCAGUGACUUCCCACUCAGAUUAACUUCCAUUUGUACAAUAUAGAUCUUCUAUGAAAUAUUUAUUUGCAUGUUGUGUCCUUCAUUAGAAUGUGAACUUCUAGAAGGCAGGGACUGUAUUCUUGCUUUUUUUUUUUAACAAUGUCUGGUAUACAGUAAAUCCUUAAUAAAUGUUUAGCGACUGAGUGCUCUUGUAAAAACUUACAUUCUAAAAGAAUGACUUCCAAUGCUAUUUCUUGGUCUGUAUCUAAAUGUCUGAUAGCAGACUAACAGCAUCUUAAAAGUGCAAUGUGCUUUGUGCCAAUCCAUAAUACACAUAUCUAUACACAUACAUAUC
Molecule: non-coding RNA, 6043 nt
Organism: Monodelphis domestica (gray short-tailed opossum)
Lineage: Eukaryota; Metazoa; Chordata; Mammalia; Didelphimorphia; Didelphidae
Source: RefSeq, a predicted model, not a curated record